GACGAACGCUGGCGGCGUGCUUAACACAUGCAAGUCGAACGGACAGACCCAGCUUUCUGGGUGCUCGCGUUACGAACGGAUGAGUAACUCGUAGGUGGUCUACCCCUAACUUCGAGUUGAGCAUCUGAAACUGGGUGUAGUACAGAACAGGUCAAUCAUUUAACGUCGGUGUUGAAAAGUUAUUUCGGGUAGGGAUGAGCCCGCGGCCUAUCUGCUUGUUGGUGGGGUAAUUGGGUACGAAGGCGUCGACGGGUAGCCGGCCUGGGAGGGUGGACGGCGACAAUGGUCCUGAGAUACGGAGCAGACUGCUACGGGAGGCAGCAGUGGGGAAUAUUGCGCAAUGGGGGCAAGCCUGAUGUAGCGACGUCGCGUGGGGGAUGCCGUGCUUCGGGUUGUAAACCUCUUUCGACAGGGACGAAGAUUUGGUGACGGUACCUGAAUAAGAAGCCACGGCUAACUACGUG
Molecule: ribosomal RNA, 464 nt
Filed under: uncultured bacterium
Lineage: Bacteria
Description: partial 16S ribosomal RNA
Rfam family: Bacterial small subunit ribosomal RNA
Source: RNAcentral